AAUAUAAUUAAUGAAGAAGGACUAUCUAUUUGCAAUGAACUUAGAUUGAAACAACAACAAAAAAGAAAACAACUGACAAGCAAAAAGGAACUAGGAUCAUUUUGUGAACAAUUUGGUCUUCAACCCAUCAAACAAAAUAAAAAAUCUAAGAAACAAUUUAAAUCUUACACAACAUGCAAGACCUGUCAAAAGAAGAAGCCAAAAUCAAGUUGGUUCUCACAAACUAAAAAGAAGAAACAAA
This 241-nucleotide long non-coding RNA is filed under the name Elaeis guineensis (African oil palm). RNAcentral describes it as "long non-coding RNA (EGUI_LNC046880)". The record is from RNAcentral. Lineage: Eukaryota; Viridiplantae; Streptophyta; Magnoliopsida; Arecales; Arecaceae.